Molecule: ribosomal RNA, 482 nt
Filed under: Ptyodactylus ragazzii
Lineage: Eukaryota; Metazoa; Chordata; Lepidosauria; Squamata; Phyllodactylidae
Description: partial 16S ribosomal RNA
Rfam family: Bacterial large subunit ribosomal RNA
Source: RNAcentral
AGCCCCUAGCAAACACAAGUAUUAGGGGUGCCGCCUGCCCAGUGAAGUCCCCUUUCAACGGCCGCGGUAUCCUAACCGUGCAAAGGUAGCGUAAUCACCUGUCUCUUAAAUAGAGACCAGUAUGAAUGGCUAAAUGAGGGCCCGACUGUCUCAUACGACCCCCCAAUGAAACUGAUCUCUCAGUACAAAAGCUGAAAUAGCCCCACAAGACGAGAAGACCCUGUGGAACUUUAACUACCUUACCAACUCAACCACAAGUAGCCAACAAGGUUACAAACCCAUGACUAUUGGUAAAAGUUUCAGUUGGGGCAACUAUGGAGCAAAAACCAACCUCCAUGCACCUACUCCCAGGCCAACCAGCCAAAGAACCCCACAAUCAGACCCAGUAACACUGACCAACGAACCAAGCUACCCCAGGGAUAACAGCGCCAUCCCCUUCCAGAGUCCCCAUCGACAAGGGGGUUUACGACCUCGAUGUUGGA